GCGGGAAUGCGAUUUGUGAAUAUAAAACUCCUCGAUGGACAGUAUUUCUCAGGAAGUAUCUUCUAAUGCUUCCUAGGGUGUCUCCAGGAAGUACCUUUUACUGAUUCCUAGAGCACCUACAAUGUGAUUGAAAAGCAGCUGAAAGCUUUUGAGGAUGAUAGGAAGAGAACCAGAACACGACCUUUCUCUCAGCAGAGAAGCAACUGUGACAGCAGGGACCUCUUCUGAAUGCAAAUCUCUUGUCCAUGUAUUGGAAACAUUUUAUAUGGUUGUGUCCCCCAUCCAGAUGAAGACCCUCUCAUGCUUACAGGCUUUGUUUGUGGGGAGGGCAACUGAACUUCCAAGCAGCUCAUUGCCAUGCCAUGGGCGAACAACAGCUGAAACCAGCCUACCCUUUUCAGAGUGCAAUGUAUUAAUACCCGGGUACAUGGAAUUAUUAGCACAUAUGCACCAAUAUUACAAGCCAGGAGAGAACUCUUGAGAAAACUGAUGUGUUUUUCCUAAAAGUACACUGAGUAAGCUCAAAAAUAGUGAGGCAAGCUGACGGGAAUUUGUCCAUAACUACUGAUCAUUAUGACUUAAUUAUGUAGGCUGUAAAGCAAGUGUUCCCAAACUAUGGUCCACAGACCAGCAGUGGUCCACAAGCUUCACUCAGGUGGUCUGUGGCAUGUCUGUGAGGAACACUUCUAUAGAAUUCAAACUGUAACACAAUAAAAUACAAUAUAAGUAACAAAAGAAGCAACAAUACAAUUAAAAUCAUACAUCAUCUAGCACAGCGCAUUACAAUUGCUACAACAGGCAGAGAAAAAAGACAUUAAGUGGUUCACCAAGACGCUCAGCAAUUUUCAAGUGGUCCAUGUGGAAAAAGUUUGGGAACCUCAUUCUAAACUAUAGUUUUCUCCAAGGCAAGUAGAGCAAAUUUGCCCUUUUCACCAUCACAUUAUUAAUUCUGAUCCAGAGUCAGUACCAUGAUAACUAAAUAAAUGUACUGGAGAGGAGGGGGGAAGUCUUGCUUUGGAAAAGGGGAAGGCGUGGUGGCCCUUUUCCUUAAUUGCAGUGGAUUUGUUUGGUCUUAUACCAUCCAAGGGAGUGUUGAAAUAGACUAGCAGACAACCCAAGUAGCUUUUUGGUUAUUAUCUGUCUCCCUCUGUUUUUUCAUUUCAAAAUCUGCCAUCAUUCUCUUCCCAAACUUUUAUCAGCUUUCCUUGUAGAGUUGCCACCUCUUUUUUAAGAGAGAAAUUAAAAUGCCAUUUAUGUUAUGUUAUCCUUGAGUCAACAUAUGCUGUAACUGUCAAUUGCUUAGAACUGAGGUUAAGCCAGGUGGCCAAAAAUAUCAAAAGAAAGCUGGUAUGCUUAAAACCUGCCAACUGACUAUCUGCUGUCUUUUCUUCUUUGAUAGGCAGCAUCACAAUACUCCUUAAAGACAUUUCAUAAUAGUAAAGUGUCAAAUAACAACGGUGAGAGCAGAUUCUAAGGCCACGUAGACAUUACAAGACAGAAACUUUAGAAGCUGCUUUAAGACUGCCAAAUCAGACAUUGAAACCCACCCAUCCGGAAGCCAAUUCUUCAUUCAGCCUCCAACCACCCUAUUGCAUUUGCGGUCAGCUCAUUUACCUUUUAUCUGAGUAGUUCAGCUUCCAGAGAGCUCUUGCCCAAUACAGAUUUCAGAAAUGCAGUUUAGGCUUAAAUGUGCUCUAUCUGCUACUGUUAAGAGUAUAUGAGUGAAAAGGCAUGCAGUUUAAAUGUGUCCGGAGCGUUAAACUGAUUGAAAAUUAUACAGGAAAAGGCAUUUACAUUUGCAAUUCACCCUACCUGCAUUUUAUGUAUCACCUGUGAACAAGUACAUUCUUUGUGAAGGACAUUUCUAUGCUCACCAUUUUUUCACAUGGAGUUGUACACAUUUGUGGCUGGCUUUUUCACAUCUUCCUGUAUGGAGAUGUCUCUUUCAUUCUUAUUAUCAGGCAUGGAUCCCUGAGCUAAUUCUUCUUCCUUUUCCAUGAGCGUGGCAGUCAUUUCCUGUUCUAUUCUCCCCCUCCCAAUAAAAGUGAAAUGAUUGGGGGGAAGUCUUAUCAAUUUCAUAGAUGUGUAUUGGGAAAAUUUGUUACUUCUUACUGGCCUGAUCCUUUUUUUUCUUUCAAAGUGGAAUUUAACCAGC
Long non-coding RNA from Rhineura floridana, 2155 nucleotides. RefSeq lists it as uncharacterized. NCBI's taxonomy places the organism in Eukaryota, Metazoa, Chordata, Lepidosauria, Squamata, Rhineuridae. The transcript has 3 exons. The record is from RefSeq and is a predicted model, not a curated record.